Long non-coding RNA from Panthera uncia (snow leopard), 464 nucleotides. RefSeq lists it as uncharacterized. The transcript has 4 exons. The record is from RefSeq and is a predicted model, not a curated record. Lineage: Eukaryota; Metazoa; Chordata; Mammalia; Carnivora; Felidae.
GUCCCGCGCGGGCGCUGAAGCCUCAUUCCGGAGAGGCAGCCGGAGGAGUGGUCCCGGUGGAUUCUUCUACCCCGGUCCCACAGUGCUGGGUACAACCUAUCCACACAGAGGAAAAUACUGAUGGGCCUUCCUUGUCACAUGGUGAUGGUGACUGGAAUCACAGAAAUGGUGUCUAGAAGAAAAUAGGUCAUGUUACUCAGGGAAGCUUUAAAAUAUACAAUGAGAAGAAAAGGAGAGAAACAUGAGCAGACCUAGUGGAUUACAAAGGACUGGAGAAAGUGCCUGGGUGGCUCCGGUCAGUUAAGAGUCGGACUUCUGCUCAGGUCAUGAUCUCCUGGUUCAUGAGUUCAAGCCCCGCGUUGCACUCUGUGCUGACAGCUCAGAGCCUGAAGCCUGCUUUGGAUUCUGUGUCUCCCUCUCUCUCUCUCUCUCUGCCCUUCCCCCACACCCACUCUGUCUCUCUC